Molecule: ribosomal RNA, 449 nt
Filed under: uncultured bacterium
Lineage: Bacteria
Description: bacterial SSU rRNA
Rfam family: Bacterial small subunit ribosomal RNA
Source: RNAcentral
GUCGAGAAUCUUCCGCAAUGGGCGAAAGCCUGACGGAGCGACGCCGCGUGGACGAUGAAGGCCUUCGGGUUGUAAAGUCCUUUCGCGCAGGAGGAAAACCAAGGUGCUAAUAACACCUUGUUUGACGUUACUGUGUAAAGAAGCUCCGGCUAACUUCGUGCCAGCAGCCGCGGUAAGACGAAGGGAGCGAGCGUUGUUCGGAAUCACUGGGCAUAAAGGGCACGCAGGCGGCCUGGUAAGUUGGAUGUGAAAUCCCCUGGCUCACCCAGGGAACUGCAUUCAAUACUGCCGGGCUUGAGGUCGGGAGGGGAGAGUGGAACUCCUAGUGUAGCGGUGAAAUGCGUAGAUAUUAGGAGGAACGCCGGUGGCGAAAGCGACUCUCUGGCCCGAUUCUGACGCUGAGGUGCGAAAGCCAGGGGAGCGAACGGGAUUAGAUACCCCAGUAGUCC